GACCUUCGGGAGCUUGCGACAGGUGCUGCAUGGCUGUCGUCAGCUCGUGUCGUGAGAUGUUCGGUUAAGUCCGCUAACGAGCGCAACCCUCGCUGUGUGUUACAAGUGUCACACGGGUACUGCCGGUCUUAAGCCGGAGGAAGGUGGGAUGACGUCAAGUCAGCAUGGCCUUUAUGUCCUGGGCUACACACACGCUACAAUGGCCAACACAAUAGGUUGCUAAGCCGCGAGGUGGAGCCAAUCCUCAAAGUUGGUCUCAGUUCAGAUUGCAGGCUGCAACCCGCCUGCAUGAAGAUGGAGUUGCUAGUAACCGCAGGUCAGCUAUACUGCGGUGAAUACGUUCCCGGGGCUU
This 352-nucleotide ribosomal RNA is filed under the name uncultured Leptolinea sp. RNAcentral's name for it is "bacterial SSU rRNA". It matches the Rfam family "Bacterial small subunit ribosomal RNA", at positions 1014 to 1382 of the family's 1533-position model. The record is from RNAcentral. Lineage: Bacteria; Bacillati; Chloroflexota; Anaerolineae; Anaerolineales; Anaerolineaceae.